Molecule: transfer RNA, 72 nt
Filed under: Camelus bactrianus (Bactrian camel)
Lineage: Eukaryota; Metazoa; Chordata; Mammalia; Artiodactyla; Camelidae
Also listed under: 2 other names
Rfam family: tRNA
About the family: Transfer RNA (tRNA) molecules are approximately 80 nucleotides in length. Their secondary structure includes four short double-helical elements and three loops (D, anti-codon, and T loops).
Source: Rfam by way of RNAcentral
GAGGGUACAGCUCAGUGGUAGAGUGCAUGUUUAGCAUGCACGAGGUCCUGGGUUCAAUCCCCAGUACCUCCA